GAUGAAGAACGUAGCGAAAUGCGAUAAGUAGUGUGAAUUGCAGAAGUACCGUGAAUCAUCGAAUCUUUGAACGCAAAUUGCACUCUCUGGUAUUCCGGGGAGUAUGCCUGUUUGAGGGUCGCUUAACAAACCAUCGAUUUCGUUGCUUUUUUUUUAAAGAGUGAUGUUUAUCGGAUUUGAGCCGUCUUUUUUUUUAUAUUUAAAAGUGGCUUAAAAUUGAUUUUUUUGGUACGAUCGAAGCGUAUUUUUAUGAUCAAUUUUUGGUUAAAGAAACGCACACGUACCGUUAUUUAUAUGAUGUAAUACGUUUGACUAUUGGAUUUAGUUCAUUCGUAUACGAUAUCUUUCAAUAUUUGACCUCAAAUCAGGUAAGAACACCCGCUGAACUUAAGCAUAUCAAUAAGCGGAGGA
RNAcentral lists this unclassified non-coding RNA (411 nucleotides) under soil metagenome. RNAcentral's name for it is "partial contains 5.8S ribosomal RNA, internal transcribed spacer 2, and large subunit ribosomal RNA". The stretch from base 1 to 121 matches the Rfam family "5.8S ribosomal RNA", at positions 35 to 154 of the family's 154-position model. The record is from RNAcentral.